GACGAACGCUGGCGGCGUGCUUAACACAUGCAAGUCGAACGGAAAGGCCCUGCUUUUGUGGGGUGCUCGAGUGGCGAACGGGUGAGUAACACGUGAGUAGCCUGCCCUUGACUUUGGGAUAACUUCAGGAAACUGGGGCUAAUACCGGAUAGGAGCUCCUGCUGCAUGGUGGGGGUUGGAAAGUUUCGGCGGUUGGGGAUGGACUCGCGGCUUAUCAGCUUGUUGGUGGGGUAGUGGCUUACCAAGGCUUUGACGGGUAGCCGGCCUGAGAGGGUGACCGGCCACAUUGGGACUGAGAUACGGCCCAGACUCCUACGGGAGGCAGCAGUGGGGAAUAUUGCACAAUGGGCGGAAGCCUGAUGCAGCAACGCCGCGUGCGGGAUGACGGCCUUCGGGUUGUAAACCGCUUUCGCCUGUGACGAAGCGUGAGUGACGGUAAUGGGUAAAGAAGCACCGGCUAACUACGUGC
This 469-nucleotide ribosomal RNA is filed under the name uncultured bacterium. RNAcentral's name for it is "partial 16S ribosomal RNA". It matches the Rfam family "Bacterial small subunit ribosomal RNA", at positions 28 to 508 of the family's 1533-position model. The record is from RNAcentral.